UAUUCUAGCUUGUGAGACCAGGCUCCAUUUUUCAUUAAUGGAAACUUCCCUUUGAUUUAGGGAGAAGAAGGCAGUUCGGGUAAAGGAUGAAAAGAUUGAGGGCUUAGAAGAACAGCUUGGAAAACUAAUGGCCCAAAUGGAUGGUGAGAGUGAAGUCUCAGAGACGAAAGAGGUCCAGGACGCCACUGUCUUGCCCUUGCCGACCACCAGUAACUCUUCUUCUGCGUCAGGGAAUGUUAUACAUGCAAAUAAAAAGAAGAGUAACAGAAGAAAGGGUUAGAUCAAGAUUCAGGCUCCAAUUUUUAGAACCAUCGCUUAGGCUAGUAGACUAAAGUUGAAGCAAUUUGACGACUGUGAAUAUCUCUAGAGAUCUAACUAUUAAUUCGUGUUAUGAUGUGUGCAGCCCCAGCCCAAUAUAUUUAGGAGCUUUUUGUUAAAAAAACAUUUUUGGCCCAUUAUUAAUGAAAACAAAGUUUUUCUUACUCAA
Molecule: long non-coding RNA, 487 nt
Organism: Arabidopsis lyrata subsp. lyrata
Lineage: Eukaryota; Viridiplantae; Streptophyta; Magnoliopsida; Brassicales; Brassicaceae
Exons: 2
Source: RefSeq, a predicted model, not a curated record